GAUGAACGCUAGCGGCAGGCCUAACACAUGCAAGUCGAGGGAGAAGCCCUUUCGGGGGCAGAAACCGGCGCACGGGUGCGUAACGCGUAUGCAACCUACCUUUCACAGGGGGAUAGCCCGAAGAAAUUUGGAUUAAUACCCCAUAAUAUUAUUGGAUGGCAUCAUUUGAUAAUUAAAACUGCGGUGGUGAAAGAUGGGCAUGCGUCCUAUUAGCUAGUUGGAGUGGUAACGGCACCCCAAGGCUACGAUAGGUAGGGGUCCUGAGGGGGAGAUCCCCCACACUGGUACUGAGACAGGGACCAGACUCCUACGGGAGGCAGCAGUGAGGAAUAUUGGUCAAUGGUCGGAAGACUGAACCAGCCAUGCCGCGUGCAGGAAGAAUGCCUUAUGGGUUGUAAACUGCUUUUAUAUGGGAAGAAUAAGGCGUACGUGUACGUUGAUGACGGUACCAUAUGAAUAAGCAUCGGCUAACUCCGUG
Molecule: ribosomal RNA, 478 nt
Filed under: uncultured bacterium
Lineage: Bacteria
Description: partial 16S ribosomal RNA
Rfam family: Bacterial small subunit ribosomal RNA
Source: RNAcentral